GGGAUUUGCAGAUCGGCGGACUUUUAAUCCGUUGGUCGCGAGUUCGAGUCUCGCACAACCCACCA
This 65-nucleotide transfer RNA is filed under the name Achromobacter xylosoxidans. RNAcentral's name for it is "tRNA-Lys". It matches the Rfam family "tRNA". From Rfam's summary of the family: Transfer RNA (tRNA) molecules are approximately 80 nucleotides in length. Lineage: Bacteria; Pseudomonadati; Pseudomonadota; Betaproteobacteria; Burkholderiales; Alcaligenaceae. The record is from RNAcentral. RNAcentral also lists the same sequence under 1 other name.